UGCUGGAGGUAUCAGAAGUGCGAAUGCUGACAUAAGUAACGAUAAAGCGGGUGAAAAGCCCGCUCGCCGGAAGACCAAGGGUUCCUGUCCAACGUUAAUCGGGGCAGGGUGAGUCGACCCCUAAGGCGAGGCCGAAAGGCGUAGUCGAUGGGAAACAGGUUAAUAUUCCUGUACUUGGUGUUACUGCGAAGGGGGGACGGAGAAGGCUAUGUUAGCCGGGCGACGGUUGUCCCGGUUUAAGCAUGUAGGCGGAGGUUCCAGGUAAAUCCGGUACCUUUUAACGCUGAGGUGUGAUGACGAGGCACUACGGUGCUGAAGUAACAAAUGCCCUGCUUCCAGGAAAAGCCUCUAAGCAUCAGGUAACAUUAAAUCGUACCCCAAACCGACACAGGUGGUCAGGUAGAGAAUACCAAGGCGCUUGAGAGAACUCGGGUGAAGGAACUAGGCAAAAUGGUGCCGUAACUUCGGGAGAAGGCACGCUGGUGUGUAGGUGAAGUCCCUGCGGAUGGAGCUGAGACCAGUCGAAGAUACCAGCUGGCUGCAACUGUUUAUUAAAAACACAGCACUGUGCAAACACGAAAGUGGACGUAUACGGUGUGACGCCUGCCCGGUGCCGGAAGGUUAAUUGAUGGGGUUAUCCGUAAGGAGAAGCUCUUGAUCGAAGCCCCGGUAAACGGCGGCCGUAACUAUAACGGUCCUAAGGUAGCGAAAUUCCUUGUCGGGUAAGUUCCGACCUGCACGAAUGGCGUAAUGAUGGCCAGGCUGUCUCCACCCGAGACUCAGUGAAAUUGAACUCGCUGUGAAGAUGCAGUGUACCCGCGGCAAGACGGAAAGACCCCGUGAACCUUUACUAUAGCUUGACACUGAACAUUGAGCCUUGAUGUGUAGGAUAGGUGGGAGGCUUUGAAGCGUGGACGCCAGUCUGCGUGGAGCCAACCUUGAAAUACCACCCUUUAAUGUUUGAUGUUCUAACGUAGGCCCCUGACCGGGGUUGCGGACAGUGUCUGGUGGGUAGUUUGACUGGGGCGGUCUCCUCCCAAAGAGUAACGGAGGAGCACGAAGGUUAGCUAAUCCUGGUCGGACAUCAGGAGGUUAGUGCAAUGGCAUAAGCUAGCUUGACUGCGAGCGUGACGGCGCGAGCAGGUGCGAAAGCAGGUCAUAGUGAUCCGGUGGUUCUGAAUGGAAGGGCCAUCGCUCAACGGAUAAAAGGUACUCCGGGGAUAACAGGCUGAUACCGCCCAAGAGUUCAUAUCGACGGCGGUGUUUGGCACCUCGAUGUCGGCUCAUCACAUCCUGGGGCUGAAGUAGGUCCCAAGGGUAUGGCUGUUCGCCAUUUAAAGUGGUACGCGAGCUGGGUUUAGAACGUCGUGAGACAGUUCGGUCCCUAUCUGCCGUGGGCGCUGGAGAAUUGAGGGGGGCUGCUCCUAGUACGAGAGGACCGGAGUGGACGCAUCACUGGUGUUCGGGUUGUCAUGCCAAUGGCACUGCCCGGUAGCUAAAUGCGGAAGAGAUAAGUGCUGAAAGCAUCUAAGCACGAAACUUGCCCCGAGAUGAGUUCUCCCUGAGACUUUAAGUCUCCUGAAGGAACGUUGAAGACGACGACGUUGAUAGGCCGGGUGUGUAAGCGCAGCGAUGCGUUGAGCUAACCGGUACUAAUGAACCGUGAGGCUUAACCUU
This 1677-nucleotide ribosomal RNA is filed under the name Klebsiella variicola. RNAcentral's name for it is "bacterial LSU rRNA". It matches the Rfam family "Bacterial large subunit ribosomal RNA", at positions 1271 to 2925 of the family's 2925-position model. Lineage: Bacteria; Pseudomonadati; Pseudomonadota; Gammaproteobacteria; Enterobacterales; Enterobacteriaceae. RNAcentral also lists the same sequence under 1 other name. The record is from RNAcentral.